UGCAUAUCCAAAAAGCGGAGGAAAGGAAACCAACUGGGAUUACCUUAGUAACGGCGAGUGAAGCGGUAAAAGCUCAAAUUUGAAAUCUGGUACUUUCAGUGCCCGAGUUGUAAUUUGUAGAAUUUGUCUUUGAUUAGGUCCUUGUCUAUGUUCCUUGGAACAGGACGUCAUAGAGGGUGAGAAUCCCGUUUGGCGAGGAUACCUUUUCUCUGUAAGACUUUUUCGAAGAGUCGAGUUGUUUGGGAAUGCAGCUCAAAGUGGGUGGUAAAUUCCAUCUAAAGCUAAAUAUUGGCGAGAGACCGAUAGCGAACAAGUACAGUGAUGGAAAGAUGAAAAGAACUUUGAAAAGAGAGUGAAAAAGUACGUGAAAUUGUUGAAAGGGAAGGGCAUUUGAUCAGACAUGGUGUUUUUUGCAUGCACUCGCCUCUCGUGGGCUUGGGCCUCUCAAAAAUUUCACUGGGCCAACAUCAAUUCUGGCAGUAGGAUAAAUCAUUAAGAAUGUAGCUACCUCGGUAGUGUUAUAGCUUAUUGGAAUACUGCUAGCUGGGAUUGAGGACUGCGCUUCGGCAAGGAUGUUGGCAUAAUGGUUAAAUGCCGCCCGUCUUGAACCACGGGACC
RNAcentral lists this ribosomal RNA (618 nucleotides) under fungal sp. RNAcentral describes it as "eukaryotic LSU rRNA". It matches the Rfam family "Eukaryotic large subunit ribosomal RNA", at positions 37 to 664 of the family's 3401-position model. The record is from RNAcentral. Lineage: Eukaryota; Fungi.